Molecule: long non-coding RNA, 1510 nt
Organism: Labrus mixtus (cuckoo wrasse)
Lineage: Eukaryota; Metazoa; Chordata; Actinopteri; Labriformes; Labridae
Exons: 5
Source: RefSeq, a predicted model, not a curated record
GGAAGUGAGGCUGAACCUGAAGCAAGGAGGAAUGCUAAGGUCGAACUGGUGCUCACGUCCCGGCUUUCAAUUCACGCAUUCACACCUGGAGGCCCCCCUCCGGGGACCAAGUGCGGAAGUUCACCGUCUGCCAUGGCUGAACCGCACUGGAGGGCAACACGGUGUUAAUUGCUGGCAGAGGGAUAUUAAAUGCGGUCUUUCCAGGAGAACAAAUGGUGGAUCAUUACACCCAAAUAUUUACAAGGUGCUUCUAGUGGUGAUGCCAUGGAGGAAGAAGAAAAGGACUGUGUGACUGAAUAACGUUUUUAAACAUUAGCGCAGGCUGAGUAGAGGAUACUGCAGAGGGAACUGUCCACCACCAUGCUGCACGCCCGCAGUGAAAACUCAGUGAAAAUGAGGAACGAUGGUGGAUGAAAGCCAGCAGGAGAGAGGCUGCCUUUGUCAGAGGAGACAGCUGAUUCGGAUACCACACCGUAGCUCCUAACGAGAGCCCCCGUGGGCCGGGAGCCUCUGGCAACACUUCAAGGUGACUCGAUUUACCCUAAAGUGCCAUACAUAAGGACCACCGUGAAGAUGUAAAUAAUGAAAAGUGGAGAAAAGUGCAAAGAACUCUGACAUUACAUAGGUGAAGAUCUCCAUAUUUCAACAGAACACGCUGAGGAUUUCUUGUUCGCUAUGUAUGAAUGUUUCAGAGAUCUCCCAUGCAGGCGGCAGCGGGAUGCUUCUAGGUGAGGAGGCGAAAUCACGGCUGAAAUUCUGCUUUCUGAAUCCACAAACAGCCCGGGAACGACUUGGGCAUGGGAAAUGAAUGAGGCAUGCUCACCCUGCCCUGAAAAAAACAUCUGGGAUGGUGCCAGAAUACAUUUGGGAAAUGAACAAGGAUGUCUUGAAAUGAUGCUCUAACAUGCUUCAUGUACAAGUCAAGCUACAGAAACAUGUUUCUUACAUAAAAAGUGUAUGAACAACACGAGGGAAGCACGUUGGAGGUUUUUCUUUUUUGGAAUGUGCAUUUGCCUCUGCGGUUGCUUGUUUCAACCGUCAACAAAUUCUGAAGUAUUUUCUGCAUCAAGAGAUGUGCAUAUUUCCUUUGAUUACUGCCUUCCAAGCAAAAAGAUUAUGCUUACUUUUGACUGUUUUCUUAUCUUGAAACCAGCUGACUAGUUUGAAUUACACUUUCCGUUUAACCAACAGGACAAUUAAUUACCCGGAAAAUCCCUAGUACGGUCAUAGGUUACAUGCACAAGUUGAUUUAGCAAGUAAAUGAUUGCAUCCUCUCUGGGUUUUGACGGGCAUACUUGCAGAUACCCUGUUUAAAGGUCACACCACAUCCUCCUCUACAACCAGUUUAAAUUAGUCUCAGAUCUCCCCAAAACAUGUCUGUGAAGUUUAUUGUUCCAAAUCCACUCUGAUCCUGUGUUUGAUCAUGCCAAUAAAACCCUCUAUUUCAGCCCUGCUCAGAACAGGCUGUUUCUGUGUCUGUAUCUUUAAAUGUAAAUGAGCUGUGUCUGAC